ACUACUGGAAACGGUAGCUAAUACCGCAUAACGUCGCAAGACCAAAGAGGGGGACCUUCGGGCCUCUUGCCAUCGGAUGUGCCCAGAUGGGAUUAGCUAGUAGGUGGGGUAAUGGCUCACCUAGGCGACGAUCCCUAGCUGGUCUGAGAGGAUGACCAGCCACACUGGAACUGAGACACGGUCCAGACUCCUACGGGAGGCAGCAGUGGGGAAUAUUGCACAAUGGGCGCAAGCCUGAUGCAGCCAUGCCGCGUGUAUGAAGAAGGCCUUCGGGUUGUAAAGUACUUUCAGCGAGGAGGAAGGUGUUGUGGUUAAUAACCACAGCAAUUGACGUUACUCGCAG
Molecule: ribosomal RNA, 343 nt
Filed under: Pantoea brenneri
Lineage: Bacteria; Pseudomonadati; Pseudomonadota; Gammaproteobacteria; Enterobacterales; Erwiniaceae
Description: bacterial SSU rRNA
Rfam family: Bacterial small subunit ribosomal RNA
Source: RNAcentral